This 370-nucleotide ribosomal RNA is filed under the name uncultured bacterium. RNAcentral's name for it is "bacterial SSU rRNA". It matches the Rfam family "Bacterial small subunit ribosomal RNA", at positions 30 to 408 of the family's 1533-position model. The record is from RNAcentral.
CCUGAACGCUGGCGGCGUGGCUAAGACAUGCAAGUCGCACGGGACCCGCAAGGGUUCAGUGGCGAACGGGUGAGUAAUGAAUCGCUAAUGUACCCCGGACUCUGAGAUAGCUGCCCGAAAGGGCAGGUAAUAUCAGAUGAUAUAACCGAACCGCAUGGUUUGGUUCUCAAAGGUCCGCCGGUCUGGAGCAGGCGAUUUCGUAUCAGCUAGUUGGUGAGGUAACGGCUCACCAAGGCGACGACGCGUAGCCGGACUGAGAGGUUGGCCGGCCACAUUGGGACUGAGAUACGGCCCAGACUCCUACGGGAGGCAGCAGUGGGGAAUAUUGCACAAUGGGCGCAAGCCUGAUGCAGCAACGCCGCGUGCGGGA